Molecule: ribosomal RNA, 429 nt
Filed under: Pseudomonadota bacterium
Lineage: Bacteria; Pseudomonadati; Pseudomonadota
Description: Proteobacteria bacterium partial 16S ribosomal RNA
Rfam family: Bacterial small subunit ribosomal RNA
Source: RNAcentral
UGGGGAAUAUUGGACAAUGGGCGAAAGCCUGAUCCAGCCAUGCCGCGUGUGUGAAGAAGGUCUUCGGAUUGUAAAGCACUUUAAGUUGGGAGGAAGGGCAGUAAGCGAAUACCUUGCUGUUUUGACGUUACCGACAGAAUAAGCACCGGCUAACUCUGUGCCAGCAGCCGCGGUAAUACAGAGGGUGCAAGCGUUAAUCGGAAUUACUGGGCGUAAAGCUCGCGUAGGUGGUUCGUUAAGUUGAAUGUGAAAGCCCCGGGCUCAACCUGGGAACUGCAUCCAAGACUGGCGAGCUAGAGUAGGGCAGAGGGUGGUAGAAUUUCCUGUGUAGCGGUGAAAUGCGUAGAUAUAGGAAGGAACACCAGUGGCGAAGGCGACCACCUGGGCUCAUACUGACACUGAGGUGCGAAGGCGUGGGGAGCAAACAGG